This 488-nucleotide ribosomal RNA is filed under the name uncultured organism. RNAcentral describes it as "bacterial SSU rRNA". It matches the Rfam family "Bacterial small subunit ribosomal RNA", at positions 28 to 507 of the family's 1533-position model. The record is from RNAcentral.
GAUGAACGCUAGCGACAGGCCUAACACAUGCAAGUCGAGGGGCAGCACAUGAGUAGCAAUACGAUGGUGGCGACCGGCGCACGGGUGAGUAACACGUAUGCAACCUGCCUUCUACUAUGGGAUAACCCGUUGAAAAACGGACUAAUACCGUAUAAUACAGGGGCUCCGCAUGGAGAUAUUUGUUAAAGAUUAAUUGGUAGAAGAUGGGCAUGCGUAUGAUUAGAUAGUUGGUGAGGUAACGGCUCACCAAGUCAACGAUCAUUAGGGGUUCUGAGAGGAAGGUCCCCCACACUGGUACUGAGACACGGACCAGACUCCUACGGGAGGCAGCAGUGAGGAAUAUUGGUCAAUGGACGAGAGUCUGAACCAGCCAAGUCGCGUGAAGGAAGACGGUUCUAUGAAUUGUAAACUUCUUUUGUACAGGAAUAAAGUGGAUUACGUGUAAUCUUUUGUAUGUACUGUACGAAUAAGGAUCGGCUAACUCCGUG